AACAGGAUUAGAUACCCUGGUAGUCCACGCCCUAAACGAUGUCUACUAGUUGUCGGGUCUUAAUUGACUUGGUAACGCAGCUAACGCGUGAAGUAGACCGCCUGGGGAGUACGGUCGCAAGAUUAAAACUCAAAGGAAUUGACGGGGACCCGCACAAGCGGUGGAUGAUGUGGAUUAAUUCGAUGCAACGCGAAAAACCUUACCUACCCUUGACAUGGUCGGAAUCCCUGAGAGAUUGGGGAGUGCUCGAAAGAGAACCGAUACACAGGUGCUGCAUGGCUGUCGUCAGCUCGUGUCGUGAGAUGUUGGGUUAAGUCCCGCAACGAGCGCAACCCUUGUCAUUAGUUGCUACGAAAGGGCACUCUAAUGAGACUGCCGGUGACAAACCGGAGGAAGGUGGGGAUGACGUCAAGUCCUCAUGGCCCUUAUGGGUAGGGCUUCACACGUCAUACAAUGGUGCAUACAGAGGGCUGCCAACCCGCGAGGGGGAGCUAAUCCCAGAAAGUGCAUCGUAGUCCGGAUUGUAGUCUGCAACUCGACUACAUGAAGUUGGAAUCGCUAGUAAUCGCGGAUCAGCAUGUCGCGGUGAAUACGUUCCCGGGUCUUGUACACACCGCCCGUCACACCAUGGGAGCGGGUUUUACCAGAAGUAGGUAGCUUAACCGCAAGGAGGGCGCUUACCACGGUAGGAUUCGUGACUGGGGUGAAGUCGUAACAAGGUAACC
Molecule: ribosomal RNA, 725 nt
Filed under: uncultured bacterium
Lineage: Bacteria
Description: bacterial SSU rRNA
Rfam family: Bacterial small subunit ribosomal RNA
Source: RNAcentral